UACAGAGGAGCCAAGCGUUGUCCGAAGUUACUGGGCGUAAAGAGUACGUAGGUGGCUUGUUAAGAUACAUCUGAAAGGUGACAGCUCAACUGUCAAUGGUGGUGUAAGACUGGCAGGCUUGAGGCAAGCAGAAGAGUGUGGAACUCCGAGUGUAGCGGUGGAAUGCGUAGAGAUUCGGAAGAACACCCAUGGCGAAGGCAGCACUCUGGGCUUGAACCGCAAGGUGAACCUGACACUGAGGUACGAAAGCCAGGGGAGCGAACGGG
Molecule: ribosomal RNA, 266 nt
Filed under: uncultured bacterium
Lineage: Bacteria
Description: partial 16S ribosomal RNA
Rfam family: Bacterial small subunit ribosomal RNA
Source: RNAcentral